UACGUAGGUCCCGAGCGUUGUCCGGAUUUAUUGGGCGUAAAGCGAGCGCAGGUGGUUUAUUAAGUCUGGUGUAAAAGGCAGUGGCUCAACCAUUGUAUGCAUUGGAAACUGGUAGACUUGAGUACAGGAGAGGAGAGUGGAAUUCCAUGUGUAGCGGUGAAAUGCGUAGAUAUAUGGAGGAACACCGGUGGCGAAAGCAGCUCUCUGGCCUGUAACUGACACUGAGGCUCGAAAGCGUGGGGAGCAAACAGG
This 252-nucleotide ribosomal RNA is filed under the name uncultured bacterium. RNAcentral's name for it is "partial 16S ribosomal RNA". It matches the Rfam family "Bacterial small subunit ribosomal RNA", at positions 524 to 776 of the family's 1533-position model. The record is from RNAcentral.